GAUGAACGCUGACAGCAUGCUUAACACAUGCAAGUCGAUGGGGAAGUGGUUCUUGCCCCCUGGCAACCAUGGCGGACGGGUGAGUAACGCGUAAGGGACUUACCUGCAGGACUGGGAUAACAGGGGGAAACUCCUGACAAUACCGGAUAAUGUCAUGGAGCUGCAUGGCUUUAUGAUGAAAGGAGACGCCUGCGGAGAGCCUUGCGUCCUAUUAGCUAGUUGGUGAGGUAAUGGCUCACCAAGGCGAAGAUAGGUAGGCGGCCUGAGAGGGUGGACGGCCACAGGGGGACGGAGAGACGGACCUUACUCCUACGGGAGGCAGCAGUGGGGAAUAGUGGACGAUGGGGGCAACGCUGAUCCAGCAAUUCUGUGUGCACGAAGAAGGUUUUCGGAGUGUAAAGUGCUUUCAGCAGGGAAGAAGUAAGUGACGGUACCUGCAGAAGAAGCGACGGCUAAAUACGUG
Molecule: ribosomal RNA, 463 nt
Filed under: uncultured bacterium
Lineage: Bacteria
Description: partial 16S ribosomal RNA
Rfam family: Bacterial small subunit ribosomal RNA
Source: RNAcentral